AUCAACUUUCGAUGGUAGGAUAGAGGCCUACCAUGGUGGUAACGGGUAACGGGGUGUUAGGGCACGACACCGGAGAGGGAGCCUGAGAAACGGCUACCACAUCCAAGGAUGGCAGCAGGCGCGCAAAUUACCCAAUCCCGACACGGGGAGGUAGUGACAAUAAAUAACAAUACGGGGUUCUUUCGGAUUUCGUAAUUGGAAUGAGUACAAUUUAAAUCUCUUAACGAGGAACAAUUGGAGGGCAAGUCUGGUGCCAGCAGCCGCGGUAAUUCCAGCUCCAAUAGCGUAUAUUAAAGUUGUUGCAGUUAAAAAGCUCGUAGUUGAAUUUCGGGGUUAGCAAAGUUGGUCGUGCCAUUGGUAUGCACUGGCUUUGCUGAUUCCUCCUUCUUGAAGAACUGUAAUGCUAUUAAUUUAGUGUUGCAGGGAAACAGGACUGUUACUUUGAAAAAAUUAGAGUGUUUAAAGCAGGCUAACGCUUGAAUACAUUAGCAUGGAAUAAUGAAAUAGGACGUUUGAUCCUAUUUUGUUGGUUUCUAGGAUUGACGUAAUGAUUAAUAGGGAUAGUUGGGGGCAUUAGUAUUCAAUUGUCAGAGGUGAAAUUCUUGGAUUUAUUGAAGACUAACUACUGCGAAAGCAUUUGCCAAGGAUGUUUUCAUUAAUCAAGAACGAAAGUUAGGGGAUCGAAGACGAUCAGAUACCGUCGUAGUCUUAACCAUAAACUAUGCCGACUAGGGAUCGGAUGAUGUUAAUUUUUUAAUGACUCAUUCGGCGCCUUACGGGAAACCAAAGUGUUUGGGUUC
Molecule: ribosomal RNA, 800 nt
Filed under: uncultured Glomeromycotina
Lineage: Eukaryota; Fungi; Glomeromycota
Description: SSU rRNA
Rfam family: Eukaryotic small subunit ribosomal RNA
Source: RNAcentral